Non-coding RNA from Physcomitrium patens, 2057 nucleotides. The record is from RefSeq and is a predicted model, not a curated record. Lineage: Eukaryota; Viridiplantae; Streptophyta; Bryopsida; Funariales; Funariaceae.
GCUUUGGAAAGGUGCCAGUUUUGGUGUUGGGGGGUUCGGCAUAGCCCACCACACUCUCAUUCACCUCGUCUCGCCUCGCACACCUCACUGAUCGAUUGGAGUGUAACCUUCACUGUUGCAGUGUUUAUGCAUUUGACGCAAUUGGGUGCAAGCUUGGGUCCAUUGUUCAGGCGAACAGCCUACGUUGUCGAGCCGAGCUAGUGUGGUGUUUCCUUGCACAUGAGCAAUAUAUGCGUAUAUGUCCCAGUUAAGCGAAGAUCUUUCACGACGCAUUCACAUCUGGAAAGCCUAAUACCGUGGGACUGAAGCUGAUGCUGUUUGUUUUAGCGUUUCUGCUGUGUGGGAUGAAUGCAUAGCUGAGUGAGGAUCCUGCUUUCGGCGCUCUCACAACCUGCAUUAUUUUGGGGCGACUUCCUGAUUUACAGCGGGGAGUUAUGGCUUCGUCGUAGAUUGUAGCGUUAAGAAAGAAGCAUAAACGGGCUGUAGAUUGCAGCUGCAGAGUGAUGAUCAAAGAUUCCAUGCUUCUCUUACGCCACACUGGCAAUGCUGGGGGUUUCAGAAUUCGAGCAUGCGUGGGACAACGUAAUGCUGUCCACACAGCGUUCUCGCCUUUGCUGGCUUGGCUUGAGUCACGAGGAGAAACCGAAGCACUGACAUCUCUUACCAUCGGCAAUACCAAUCAAGGAAGGGCGCUCCUUUCUAUACGUCACAUUAAGCGUGGCGAGCAGGUGCUGCGCGUUUCUAGAGAACUUGGCUUUCUUAUGCAGAUGAUAACGCCUAAUAGAUUACCUUCGUGUGUGGAAGAGAGCCUCUCAGAAGACGUGAACGAAUGGAGCCGCCUUGCCCUAUUCCAACUCCUGCAUAAGCAUGCUGGCAAGGCAUCGCCUUGGGAGCCAUACAUCAGAUGUUUACCUCCUCUGCGGGGUCUUCAAAAUACCGUGUUUUGGAGGGACGAGGAACUGGAAUUGUUGCGUCAAAGUAAUGUGUACGACCAAACAGAGCAUCGGAAGACACUAAUUUCAAACCAAUUUGACCUCGUUCAAGCAGUUGUGAACAAGUAUCCAGAAUUAUUUGGAGAGACGGUGACGCUGGAGUCAUUCAAGCAUGCGUACUGCGUAGCGAGUUCACGAUCAUGGGGAGUUGAGGCACUCGGUUCAAUAACAAUGGUACCAUUCGUGGACAUGUUCAACCAUGAUUCCAGCGCUCGCGCUCUGUUGGCGUAUUACGAGGAGGAAGGGUAUGCUGAGGUUGUAGCAGAUAAGGAUUACAACCAAGGCUCUCAGGUGGUCAUCACAUAUGGAACUUUACCAAAUUCCUCUUUGGCUCUGGAUUUUGGGUUUACGCUCCCAGACAACCCACAUGACGAGGUUCAAAUCUGGAUGGAGGCGCCGAGCGGAGAUCCUUUGCGAGCCGAAAAGCUGAAGCUUUUGCGUGAUCAUGGCAUUGCAACCGACCCGUUUUGUGAUGGCACGGAGAGUGGUGGUGCUUGGUUUGGUCUUAGAGAAAUAUCGUCUCCUGCAGCUAGAGGUAAAGGUAUCCCUCGUGCAUUACGCACGUUUGUUCGAGUGAUCUCCGCAAGCACUACAAAAGUGUUACAGAACUGGAGGCUAUGGCUGAAGAUGCAAAGAGAAGACAAGGUCGAUUAGCUCAAAGGCCCCUGAAGGACGGCAAGGAAGCACGAGCUCUGAAAUUACUUCUAGACAACAUCGAGCAGUGCGUCUCGUCUCAUCGCUCCGCUCUCAAGAAAGUGUUGAAGGCACAAGACUUACCACAAAUCCAAGCUGAACGCGCGCGGAUGGCAGGACAUGUGCUUGAUGGAGAGCUCCGAGUGCUGCGCUCUGUGGGCGCAUGGUUGCGGCCUCGAGCUGAGGGAGGAGGCUAUGAAUCACUGGGUCUAGCAUGAAAGAGGAACCCAUAGUGUAUUGUUUGCUUAAGAAACACUCCCACUGCAGCACCAUGACAGCAACAGAGGAGGUGCCCUUGAUACUGCUCCCCUUCUAUAUUCUUAUAAAAAGCCCCACUUUGCUGAGCUUCAUGAAUGCCUCACUUUGCAAAAC